AAAUAAUAAGAACAUGAUGUUGGUUCAGAUUAAACGCUAAAUAAGGACAUGACACAUGCAAAUCAGACGUUAAUAAUAAUGUAAUUUAUUAAUUAAUAUGUGGUGUACCCGUGAGUAAAGAUUAGAAUAGGAACUAUAAAUUGAGUUAAAUACUUAAUAAUAGAUAAAGAUAUAUAUAUUUUGUAUAUAUUGUUUAUAGUCUAGCUAAUAUUGAUUUAGGUAAUAGAAUAAUUAAACCUUAUUCUAGCCGAAGAUUCAUAAUCAUUAAUGAAAGUUAUAAUGAUCACGUUGACUAUGAGAGACAGUCAAUAUCUAAAUGAUACAGCAGUGGGGAAUAUUGGACAAUGAUCGAAAGAUUGAUCCAGUCACUUAUUAGGAUGAAAAUUAUAAUAUAGUAAUAUAUAUUAUAUAUUAAUAGUAAUUAAUAAAGUCCUUAGAUUAAUUUAAAUAAUGAUUGAAUUAUAUAAAUUAUAGUAUAUAUAUAAUUAUUUUUAUUAUAUAGAAUGUAUUUUUUAUAUAUUUUAUAGUUAUAUUUUUAUAUAUAUUGAGAAGUCCUAACAAACAUUUGUGCCAGCAGCUGCGGUAAUACAAAGAGGGCUAGCGUUAAUCAUAAUGGUUUAAAGGAUUCGUAGAAUGAUCAUAUUAAAUAUAUGAUUAGAAUUAUUUUAUAUUAAUUAAAGAAUUAUAAUAUUAGUGAUGAAAUGCAGUAACGAUUAUAAGACUGUCAAGUGUGAAGAUUUUAAUUAAUAGAUAAUUGACAUUGAGGAAUGAAGGCUAGAGUAGCGAUUUGGAUUCGAUACCCAAGUAGUUCUAGCAGUAAACUAUGAAUACUAAUUGUUAUAUUUAUAUAUUAUAUAAUGAUUAAAUGAAAAUGUUAAGUAUUCCACCUGAAGAGUACGUUCGCAAGUAUGAAAUUCAAGACAAUAGACGGUUACAGACUAAAGCAGUGGAACAUGUUAUUUAAUUCGAUAAUCCCCGACAAUCUUACCAUAUUUUGUAUAUUAUACAGGUGUUACAUCGUUGUUUUCAGUUCAUGCUGCAAAGUGUUAGAUUAAUCAUCAAUGAACAAAUCUCCAUAUAUAUAUGAUAAAUUAUAUAUAAAAUAAUUAUUAAACAAUAAUAAUUAUGAAAGGAAUUAAGACAAAUCAUGAUGACCCGAAUAGUAUGGGCUAUAGACGUGUUAUAAGAUAAUGUACAAAAUUAUAUUAAAGUUAAUUAAAUUAAUAGAAUUAAUAAUAUAAAACAUUAUAAGAAUUAUUAUAUUGGUAUAAUAAAUAGUAUGGAUUAUUAUCUGAAAUUCGAUAAUAUGAAAUAAGAAUUGCUAGUAAUACGUAAUAAAGACAAUUACGGUGAAUAUAUUAACUGUUUCGCACUAAUCACUCAUCACGCGUUGAAACAUGAUAUCAUCUAAAGUUAUAAUCUUAUAUUUAACUAAUUAAUCAAUCAUUAAUUAUGAUUUAUAUAUUUUUAAUUAUAAUCAAGAGAUAUGAUGAAUUAAUGCGAAGUUGAAAUACAGUUACCGUAGGGGAACCUGCGGUGGGCUUAUAAAUAUCUUAAUAUUCCAU
This 1565-nucleotide non-coding RNA is filed under the name Eremothecium sinecaudum. RNAcentral describes it as "15S ribosomal RNA". It matches the Rfam family "Bacterial small subunit ribosomal RNA". The record is from RNAcentral. Lineage: Eukaryota; Fungi; Ascomycota; Saccharomycetes; Saccharomycetales; Saccharomycetaceae.